AGUUCAGACGGAGCCCGGGUGCGCCUGCGCAGUCACGCUCUCCUCUUUCCUCCUCCCAGUCCCUUCUCUACCUCCCCCCUUCCUCUUCCCCGGGCUCCUUCGCUUGGUUCCUCCUCGAACCCCUGCUGGUCCCGGAGCUGCCACGUGAACCUUUGGCCUUGCAGCCCUUUACUAAAGACUGUUGAUUUUUCUGUGGUUUCUUUCCCACCCCCUAGCAGUUACAGGCGACCUAUUUCUCUGGUUCAGUGGGGCCCAGUGCUGGAGAGAGCUGUUGCAGCCGCCCAGCCGGUGCCGGGUUCUGCCCACGGCCCAUUGUUGAUUCUUCGUCCCCACCCGUGGCGGAGGGCGCUUCCACCCACGCUGCCUGUGCUUCCCUCCCUAUACAACUGGCUUAGGCCGUUUGUUGGCUGCCUCGCUGCCACAAAACCUUAUCCUACCGUCCACCCUUUCGCCUCCCUCCCAGACCCCAGGCGGCACGGCUCCCCCCCCCCAAAUCAAAAUCCACUCCUCGCUUCAAAAAAGAGACUUUAUUACCCUGGCAAAUUACUGUUUGGACCAGUCCCCGUUAAAAUCCGUGGUACCCAUCCUUGCCAAACCCGUGUCUCCCUAGGGGGAAAAAGGCAAUCUAGGGAGGGUAACAUUCUGAGAAGUGUUUUUAAUGCUAGACCUCUGUUCGUUUUGGCAGCUGAGACUGAAGAGGAAAAGCUAUUUUGCAUGCAAAGUUACACAGUGCUCCGUUUUGCAGAUGCCCUCGGUGCUUGCUCGUCUUUAGUCCUGGCAAAGUGACAUGUUUGCUUCUCCCUCGUUCUCGCUAGCUCCUCGGGGUUACUCUCGGUCAAAUCUCCAGCGUGUGCAUGAGUGUGUACUACAUUCUUUCAGCCUUCCUUUGUGGAAGGAAAGGCUUCAUUUCCAUCAGAAACCACAUUCCAGUUCUAUUAAAGAAAUGCUUUUAAUUGUCUGAUGGAAUCCUAAUUUCCCGACCACACUGUAGCCUCUAAGAAUGACUUUUAGGAGACCUUGUGGCAUCAAUUUUAUGAUUCGUGCUGUAGUUAAAGCUAAUACUGAUAUUUUAUUGAUUUCUGGGGAUGGAAGGAUGACCUUUCAUGAGAGUUAUGAUCUAGAUUUAUACAAAAUAAUAAGUCUGCCUUCUUCUUGGUCUCUGCCCUCUUUCCCAUUCCUUUUGCUUGACAACAAUAUCUUGGCGUUAAACAGUGAUAUAUGUAAGCCACUGGAGGCUGGGUUGGAAAAAUAAACAUUAAAGUUAUACUAAAUAAGUGCUCCA
Molecule: long non-coding RNA, 1282 nt
Filed under: Monodelphis domestica (gray short-tailed opossum)
Lineage: Eukaryota; Metazoa; Chordata; Mammalia; Didelphimorphia; Didelphidae
Description: lncRNA (ENSMODG00000046575.1)
Source: RNAcentral